Molecule: long non-coding RNA, 840 nt
Filed under: Bos grunniens (domestic yak)
Lineage: Eukaryota; Metazoa; Chordata; Mammalia; Artiodactyla; Bovidae
Description: lncRNA (ENSBGRG00000004820.1)
Source: RNAcentral
AGGGAGAUUCUUUACCAGCUGAGCCACAAGGGAAACCCAAGAAUACUGGAGUGGGUAGCUUAUCUCUUCACCAGCAGAUCUUCCUGACCCAGGAAUUGAACCAGAGUCUCCUGCAUUGCAGGUAGAUUUUUUACCAGCUGAGCUACCGGGGAAGGCCAUAGAUGGGCUAUCUGGGGCUGAACUGAAGCAAGCUCUUGGUAACUGUGAUUACACAGGAAAACGUGAGCAAUUGCUGCCUGACUAAAAAAAGUAAAUACACAACAUAGAAACAAGAGGAAAUGAGUUUCCCAGGUCAGAAACCGCUAUAAGAACAGAGAGAGUCUCCUGGCAUUUUCUCCAAGAAAAGUCAGUCUCCAAUAAAUCAGCUUUUGGAGGCAUGGCUCCUGUAUAGCUGUAAAAGAGGAACAGAGGCAGAUGGAAUAUAGGGAAACUACUUGACCCUGCAGAGCUAAGUUUAAAUCUCCUUUUCUAAAGUAUUUUCCACAGAUUCAGGGUUUGAGGGAGAAUCAGCUUAACAAAAGAAAUGGAGAAUCAACUCAAACUGGCAGGCUUUUAAUACCAGCCUCAAGACAAAAACAUCAUGGAGGAACAUCCUCUGUACAUUAAGACAACAACAAAAUAAUUGCAACGAUGAGAAUAAAAAUUUGUGUAGUUCAUUUUCCCAUGAAAGACCAAAUAGGAGUUCCCUGUGAAAGAAUAGCCUUUGCGUAAAAUUUGUUCAUCAUUAUUUUCAGAGCAGAUGGGGCCAGAAUCAGCUCAAGCUUCUCACGACAGACACCAGCCAAAUUUGCCACUAAUUAGCAAUGCCCCACACUGUUAAAUGGCCUGCGCCUUCCAUUU